Molecule: small nucleolar RNA, 137 nt
Organism: Tachyglossus aculeatus (Australian echidna)
Lineage: Eukaryota; Metazoa; Chordata; Mammalia; Monotremata; Tachyglossidae
Source: RefSeq, a predicted model, not a curated record
CCCCUCUCAGGGUCACACCUGGAGAGUUUCCAGUACUUUACCAGUCUUGGCUAUGGGAGGGAGAGUCAAGCGGAGGCCUAUCCAUUCCAUUCCUAGUUUGGCCAGUGGCUAGUAGUAGAAGGCGAUCUGCUACAAGU